UACGGAGGGCGCAAGCGUUGUUCGGAAUCACUGGGCAUAAAGAGCAUGUAGGCGGUCUAUUAAGUCGGAUGUGAAAGCCCUCGGCCCAACCGGGGAACUGCAUUCGAUACUGGUAGACUAGAGGACAGGAGGGGUGAGUGGAACUUCAGGUGGAACGGUGAAAUGUGUAGAUAUCUGAAGGAACACCGGUGGCGAAAGCG
Molecule: ribosomal RNA, 200 nt
Filed under: uncultured bacterium
Lineage: Bacteria
Description: partial 16S ribosomal RNA
Rfam family: Bacterial small subunit ribosomal RNA
Source: RNAcentral